RNAcentral lists this unclassified non-coding RNA (1146 nucleotides) under Acyrthosiphon pisum (pea aphid). RNAcentral's name for it is "uncharacterized LOC115033674, transcript variant X2". Lineage: Eukaryota; Metazoa; Arthropoda; Insecta; Hemiptera; Aphididae. The record is from RNAcentral.
AGAUUAUAACUUUAGUAUCACUGAUAGUCUAUAGAUAAGACAUAAAUUCUGUGAUACUAUGUUCAAUACGAAUUUAAUUUAAUUUAAUUGUUUAAUACGUUAUUUAAAAAUUUUGAAUUGUAUACCUAUUGGCUAUUACUCAAAGUUGAGUUUGCAAAUUUUGCGCUAUUCACUUAUGUAAACUAAAGACUUUUACCAUGGUACAAAAAUGUUGCGUUUGCAAAGCGCAACGAUCAAGUGAGAACGAUAUCACAUUACACAGUUUUCCAAAAGACAAAAUAGUUCUUCACAAAUGGAUUUUGAACCUUAAUAAGAACUAUAUCUUUACACCAACUGUACAUACAAGAAUUUGUAAUAAGCAUUUUGAUGAAAAUGAUUUCAUUAAUACCGACAAACUAAGACGUCUAAAACCAGAUGCUAUACCAACCAAAAUUAUGGGUGUUCGUCGUUCGUUGUUGUCAGAUUUCCAAAGUUCUUCAAGUGAAUAUGUGUGUGAUCCAUCUACCUCAAAUGAGCAAUUAUUAGAUAUGCCAAAUGAUAUCUGUGAGACUGUUUUAGUUCAGACAACGAUUAAAAAUACAGAAAUUCUAGAUGUCCAUAGUUCUUCACGUGAAUAUUUAUGUGAUUCAUCUAACUCAAAUGAGAAAUCAUCAGAUAUGUCAAAUAAUAUCCAUGAUAAUAAUGCAGGCAAAAAUAUAACUGAUACCAAAAAACGUAAGUAUUAUCGUUAUAUUGGAGAUUUCUCGGAAGACGACUUGGAAACCCCAAGGAGAAGGAAACUGUUUUGGAAGACACAUACUAAAUUGCUGGAUGAAACAAAACAGAAAAUCAGAUGUCUUGAACAAAAAAAUCGAAGAUUGGAGUCAAAAAUCACUUGUUUAAAUUCAUUAGUAGAUGAACUUAAACAAAAAUAUCAAUUAAAUGCUAGUUAUUCUGAUAUUUUAAGGAAACCAUUGCACUGAUAGUACUACUACUACGACUGUGUUAUAUACAUAAUAUAAACAGUUUUUUCCUAAUAUUGGCACUGAAGAGGAAAAACAACUACUUAUGAGGCAACUACAUAUGUCAAGUGGGAAAUCUAUCAGUCCAAUUCUUAGAAAGUUUGCGAUGACGUUACAUUUUUAUUCGCCUUCUGCAUACGCCUAU